GAGUAUCAUGUAAUCACGUCUUAUCAUUGACACCUUGUUGUCAUGUCAUUUCCUUCAUUGAAAUGACAAUAAGGUGUCAGUGAUUAGGCGUAAUGACGUGACACUCCAU
Glycine max (soybean) is the source of this 109-nucleotide non-coding RNA. The record is from Rfam. NCBI's taxonomy places the organism in Eukaryota, Viridiplantae, Streptophyta, Magnoliopsida, Fabales, Fabaceae.